Molecule: ribosomal RNA, 581 nt
Filed under: Staphylococcus aureus
Lineage: Bacteria; Bacillati; Bacillota; Bacilli; Caryophanales; Staphylococcaceae
Description: partial 23S ribosomal RNA
Rfam family: Bacterial large subunit ribosomal RNA
Source: RNAcentral
UCAUAGAGUGUAAAGGCAUAAGGGAGCUUGACUGCGAGACCUACAAGUCGAGCAGGGUCGAAAGACGGACUUAGUGAUCCGGUGGUUCCGCAUGGAAGGGCCAUCGCUCAACGGAUAAAAGCUACCCCGGGGAUAACAGGCUUAUCUCCCCCAAGAGUUCACAUCGACGGGGAGGUUUGGCACCUCGAUGUCGGCUCAUCGCAUCCUGGGGCUGUAGUCGGUCCCAAGGGUUGGGCUGUUCGCCCAUUAAAGCGGUACGCGAGCUGGGUUCAGAACGUCGUGAGACAGUUCGGUCCCUAUCCGUCGUGGGCGUAGGAAAUUUGAGAGGAGCUGUCCUUAGUACGAGAGGACCGGGAUGGACAUACCUCUGGUGUACCAGUUGUCGUGCCAACGGCAUAGCUGGGUAGCUAUGUGUGGACGGGAUAAGUGCUGAAAGCAUCUAAGCAUGAAGCCCCCCUUAAGAUGAGAUUUCCCAACUUCGGUUAUAAGAUCCCUCAAAGAUGAUGAGGUUAAUAGGUUCGAGGUGGAAGCAUGGUGACAUGUGGAGCUGACGAAUACUAAUCGAUCGAAGACUUAAUCAA